Molecule: long non-coding RNA, 246 nt
Filed under: Elaeis guineensis (African oil palm)
Lineage: Eukaryota; Viridiplantae; Streptophyta; Magnoliopsida; Arecales; Arecaceae
Description: long non-coding RNA (EGUI_LNC056482)
Source: RNAcentral
GUCAAAAGUUUCUAGUUAGAUUUUGUAAUCAGACUUAAUCACCAUCUUCAUGAUGAUCCUAUGGUCAGAAGCUAUUUAUGAGUUAGUUAUGUAAAUUCAUGCCUUAAAUUUUCAACUCUUGAAAAUAUGAAUUAACAUUCCUACUAACUCAAAGGAUGUAUCACAGACAUAAUGUACACAAUGUGAUAGUAGAAUAACUCUUUUAUUCAUUUAUAGUCAAAAUUAUAAAUUUGCCCUUACAUUUGU